GGAAACUUAAACACACCCCAACACUUGCCCUUUAAUGUUUAACCCAAGACAGCAACUAAGCACCAUGCAGUCGUUCACUCGCUCUGCCCAGUGCAGGAUGGAGAAGAGAAUAAGAAGAGUAAAAAAUGAGAAAAACCUGUGGAUUGAGAUGAAAAAAGUUUAAUAACAAUAAAAACAACAACAAUAAUAUAAGAAAAUGAAAAAAAAUAUUAAUUGAGAAAAUAGAACCCAAAAGAGACAAGUCAUGCAAGUGAAAAUAGUUGCUCACCAUCAACUGACCAAUGGCUAGUCAGUCCCUGUGCUGAGGGCCCCUCAUCUUUAUAUGCUCCUCAUCUGUAUAGGCUGAACAUGAUACCAUAUGGUGUGGGAAAUCCAUUUGGUCAUUUGGGAUCAGCUGUCCUGAUCAUGUCUCCUUCUUGUCUACCUCCUCACUGGUGGGGUGGGGAGAGUAGCAGAAAAUACCUUGAUGCUGUGCAGACACUACUCAGCCAUUACAAAAGCAUCCCUCUAUUAUCAACACUGUUUUGGACACAAAUUUAAAAUACAGCCCCAUACCAGGUACUCUGAAAAAAACCCUCAUCUCUAGCCAAGGUUUUUCCACCUCUAUCCGGGGUUUUCCAAACAACUGUUCAGAAAAAACCUCUAAAAAUCUGGUUUUAGGAACUGAGAUUAAUCUGAAUAGUCUGUAACUCCCAGAUGGUUCCUCCUACCAUUUAUAAUGCUUGGCAUAAUAUUUUCUUUUUCUUUUUUCAUUUGUAAGGGGCUUUUUCCAGAUUGCCUCAAAUUUUUUUGGCCACAGGUAAGUAGCAGCUUUACAGUCACCUCAGCUGUGUGCUUCAGCAGUUUCAGAUGAAUCUUGUCCAGGUCCAGAGAUUUUAGUACAUCAGGAUCCUUCAAGUAGCCCCUAGCCUGAAAUGAUUCCACUCUUGACUGCUUUUCUCCUUCCCAAGAUUGACUGGCUUGAUGCAGGGAUCUGGUCUCAGGCUUUUCCUAUAGGGACUGAAGUAGGGAGGUGGGGAAAACACCACUGUUAUCGGUGUCAUCCAUCACUGGGCUUUCUCCUCCCUUUUGUCAACAGUGCCACAUUUCCUCUGAAUUUUUUGCUUUGAACCUUUUUCUGUGAGCGAACUGACAGAAUUUCUUCUUGUUACUCCUUGUGUCGCUAGGCAAUUUCAACUUCAGCUGGGGUUUGGCCUUCCAUUUUUCCUCUAAGAAUACACCAAUUGUGACCACUGUUGAUAAAGAUACCAUUACACAGAUGUCCAUGGACUGGUACAUCUUCAGAAAAAAGCUAGCUGUAUCUUUCUCAGAGACUUGAAAAAUGGCAUCAGCAGAGAUGAUAAAGGUAAGUCACUGUUGAAGUAUGAAAUUAGCUUCCUUAAAAGAUUGUAAUGAUUCAUAAUCUUGGUUUUAAUCCUGUAAAAGGGUAUUGUUACUUGUAAUUUCCCAUUGCAGACAAGAAAAGAAAGAAAAGUAAAGGACUUAGUUCAAGUGAUAAUACAAGCAACUUAGGUUUUACGUGUUUUGGCACUUUUUUUGACAGGACUCAAGAGGAGAAAAAAAAGUAAUGUAUCAUAGCCUCAAGGGAAAGCAAACCAGCUGUCAGCUUAAAGGAAACAUUCGUUAAAUUAUUUCCUAUAAAGCUUUUGUUAGACCACAACAGUAAAGAAGCCCCAGCAUGCUUUUGCAUACACAGAUUCUAUUACAAAUCAUCUCUGCACACUUACUUGUGUACAAAGUGGACCUUUCUCAUGGGUCAUAUGCAUGUUCCUAUCUCAACUGCUAAAUUAAAAAGACCCUUAAUCUCCCAGCUCCUACCAAGUAAUACUAUCCUCUGUCAAUUUCUUUAUUUUUCUAUCCUUUUUCUGUUGUCCUCCCUUAGCGAUACUGUUGUUCUGCUUUAGCACUUUUUUGCACACUGUGAACAAUCUACACUUCUGUGCUUGCAAUCUUUUUCCAGUUUUUCAUUCCCCCAAGCAAAUCUCAUCAAUCAAUGAGCAAAACCUCAAGGUGAUACAAACCAGAUACAU
Non-coding RNA from Taeniopygia guttata (zebra finch), 2030 nucleotides. NCBI's taxonomy places the organism in Eukaryota, Metazoa, Chordata, Aves, Passeriformes, Estrildidae. The record is from RefSeq and is a predicted model, not a curated record.